UGAUUCCCCUAGUAACGGCGAGUGAAGAGGGAAAAGCUCAAAGUUGGAACCUGGCUGUCCUAGAUAGUCCGGAUUGUAAACUAAAGAGCGUGAAUCCAGGCAAGCCGGUUGAUCAAGUCCUUUGGAAUGAGGCGCCACUGAGGGUGAGAGCCCCGUAAAUCGACUGAGCAUUUGUCUUUUGUGUUUCGCGUUCAAAGAGUCAGGUUGUUUGGGAAUGCAGCCUAAAGCUGGUGGUAAAUCCCACCUAAAGCUAAAUACAGGCGAGAGACCGAUAGCGAACAAGUACCGUGAGGGAAAGAUGAAAAGUACUUUGAAAAGAGAGUUAAACAGUAUGUGAAAUUGCCAAGAGGGAAGCAUUUGGAGUUAGACUGACUUGGAGUUAAUCAGCUUGGUCUUUGGACUGGGUGUACUUGACUUCUAUGUCUGCCAAUAGCAGUUAGUCCUGAUGGAAAAAACUGAAGGGAAGGUAGUCCUUCGGGAUGUUUAUAGACCUUUGGAAAAUACAUUGGGAUUGACUGAGGAAUGCAGUAGAUGCUAUUAAGGCUUCGUCUAGUAGGUGUUAGGUGAAGGUACUUGGUAUUUUCAGCUUGCUGAUGUGCUAGGUUACUUGAGCUUAAUUGCUUGCUAGAACUGUAAUC
This 638-nucleotide ribosomal RNA is filed under the name Lichtheimia corymbifera. RNAcentral's name for it is "eukaryotic LSU rRNA". It matches the Rfam family "Eukaryotic large subunit ribosomal RNA", at positions 72 to 637 of the family's 3401-position model. The record is from RNAcentral. Lineage: Eukaryota; Fungi; Mucoromycota; Mucoromycetes; Mucorales; Lichtheimiaceae.